CNNGGAGGGUCAUNCGUUAUCGGAAUNACUGGGCGUAANGCGUUCGNAGGCGGUUUGUUANGUUAGAUGUGAAAGCCCCGGGCUUAACCUGGGAACUGCAUUUAAAACUGGCAAACUCGAGUUUAGGAGAGGGAAGUGGAAUUUCAGGUGUAGCAGUGAAAUGCGUAGANAUCUGAAGGAACACCAGUGGCGAAGGCGACUUCCUGGACUAAAACUGACGCUGAGGAACGAAAGCGUGGGUAGCAAACGGGAUUAGAUACCCCGGUAGUCCACGCCGUAAACGAUGUCAACUAGCCGUUGGGCCUAUAUACANGUUNAGUGGUGGAGCUAACGUAUUAAGUUGACCGCCUGGGGAGUACGGCCGCAAGGUUAAAACUCAAAUGAAUUGACGGGGGCCCGCACAAGCGGUGGAGCAUGUGGUUUAAUUCGAUGCAACGCGAAGAACCUUACCUACCCUUGACAUCCAGAGAAUCUGUUAGAGAUAGUAGAGUGCCUUCGGGAACUCUNAUACAGGUGCUGCAUGGCUGUCGUCAGCUCGUGUCGUGANAUGUNGGGUUAAGUCCCGUANCGAGCGCAACCCUUAUCCUUAGUUGCCAGCACAUAAUGGUGGGAACUCUACGANACUGCCGGUGAUANCCGGAGGAAGGUGGGGACGACNUCAANUCAUCNUGNCCCUNAUGGUUAGGGCUACNCACNUGCUACAU
RNAcentral lists this ribosomal RNA (704 nucleotides) under uncultured bacterium. Its description in RNAcentral is "partial 16S ribosomal RNA". It matches the Rfam family "Bacterial small subunit ribosomal RNA", at positions 526 to 1230 of the family's 1533-position model. The record is from RNAcentral.